ACGUAGGGGGCGAGCGUUACCCGGAAUCACUGGGUGUAAAGGGAGCGUAGGUGGCCUAACAUGUCAACUGUGAAAACCCGGAGCUCAACUCCGGACUUGCAUUUGAUACUGGUAGGCUUGAGGACAGGAGAGGAAGACGGAACUGCCAGUGUAGCGGUUAAAUCCGUAGAUAUUGGCAGGAACGCCGGUGGCGAAGGUGGCUUUCUGGGCUGGAUCUGACACUGAUGCUCGAAAGCUAGGGGAGCGAACGG
This 251-nucleotide ribosomal RNA is filed under the name uncultured prokaryote. Its description in RNAcentral is "partial 16S rRNA". It matches the Rfam family "Bacterial small subunit ribosomal RNA", at positions 525 to 775 of the family's 1533-position model. The record is from RNAcentral.